GGGGCUUGGCCCUUUAUAGACCUACGAUGUAAUAAUACCCUAACCACAUACCCACCAUACGACUGGAAUCACACAUACACUGCCACAAGAGGUCUGCAGUGAAGGUCCCAAAGUCCCAGACAACGGAGUCUCUCUCUGUCGCCCAGGGUAGAGUGCAGUGGUGCAAUCCUGGCUCACUGCAACCUCUGCCUCCCAGGUUCAAGUGAUUCUCCUGCCUCAGCUUCCCAAGUAGCUGGGACUACAGGCGUGUGCCACCACGACCAGGAUCUUUCUGCUGAUGCAGCUGUUAAGAGUGUUUCAUAAACUGUGACAACACUAAGAGGCCAGGUGCAGUGCAUGUAAUCCCAGCACUUUGGGAGACUGAGAUGGGAAGAUCGCUUGAGGCCAGGAGUGCAAGACCAGCCUGGGCAACACAGCAAGACCUUGAUUCUACUAAAAAAAAAAAAGGAUCCUUCAACUUCAACAAUAAUAACACAAGGGAAGUGAAGAAAAACACUUUCUAAGGAAAUCUCUCUCUGAGCUACCAUCCUGCUAGGGAGAGCCUGAAAGCAGAAUGCUGACUUGACUAGCUCUGGUCAAUGAAAGAAAUCACCAGUGGAAAGGCUACCAGGGGGCUUUCUCAAAAGAGAGGGACAGUAAACUGCAAGAUGAACAACUCAAUGCCAUCCAGGUCUGGAUGAGAAAGAACAGUCGAGAGACUGAGUUUCAGGAGUGGAAACACUCAAAGCAUCAUCUUCCACUUUCUUCUCCGGCUGCUAGGAAGAAGGGAAAAACACAGACCUUCUGAGGACCUGCGGAGCAAACCACUGGCUUCAGAAAAGCAAACAGGGACUUCCCUCUGCGCAGCAGGAAGCAGUUAGCCUAGUCGGAGGCUUGACUGAAGAAACAAAUGAGGGAAGGCAGAAGUUGAGACGCAGCCAGUAGAGGAAACUCCGGGAGAGGCAGGCAGCGUCACUUGAAGAAAAGCUCUAUUGUGAUGGGAACAAUCACAGGAACUAAGCGGCAACAAAAUGGCUCCCCACCCCCUCUGCAAAUCCCAACUCCAUGCAAGCACUCUCCCUUCCCUCAUUUUCUUUUCUUUUUUUUUGAGAUGGAGUCUCGCUCUGUUGCCCAGGCUGGAGUGCAGUAGCGCGAUCUCGGCUCACUGCAACCUCCACCUUCUGGUUUCAAGCAAUUCUCCUGCCUCAGCCUCCCCAGUAGCUGGGACUACAGGCGUGUGCCACCACGCCUGGCUAAUUUUUUUUUUUAAUUUUUAGUAGAGACAGAGUUUCACCAUGUUGGCCAGGCUGGUCUCGAACUCCUGGCCUCAAGUGAUCCACCUGCCUCAGCCUCCCAAAGUGGUGGGAUUACAGGUGUAAGCGACCACGCCCGGCCUUUUAAAAUCGACUUGAGUCUCAUCUCCUGAAAUGCAAAAUGCAUUGGGCCUGUCUCUUACUUCUGCAUGUCUCAUAAUGCUUAGCACAGCACAAGCCCCGAGAGCGCAUCAUACACCCUGGGGUGGGGAGCUCCUGGCAGGGCUGGAUCCACUCACCAUUCCUGCCAUCCAUUGGCACUUGGCUCAGCACAGUUAGGCCAACAAGGACAUAAUAGACAAGUCCAAAACAGUACUGCACGACGUGAAUCAUGACAUUGGAGAAGACACUGACGUAGAGGCACUCGAAGAGUCUUCGUAAGCUGUGCAGCCACAGAAAUACUAGCACUAAGAAUGCAGACAGUGCCAGCUCCCCUCCUACAAUUCAGAAGGCAACAGGGUCAGCAUUUCUCUUCUGGGAUUAAUCCAAAGUUUUGUUUUUCUGUACUGUUAAGCAAAGUAUUAAAUCCCAUCUAACAUC
RNAcentral lists this long non-coding RNA (1832 nucleotides) under Homo sapiens (human). Its description in RNAcentral is "PREDICTED lncRNA (TCONS_00205959)". The record is from RNAcentral. Lineage: Eukaryota; Metazoa; Chordata; Mammalia; Primates; Hominidae.